RNAcentral lists this long non-coding RNA (1405 nucleotides) under Homo sapiens (human). Its description in RNAcentral is "PREDICTED lncRNA (TCONS_00017135)". Lineage: Eukaryota; Metazoa; Chordata; Mammalia; Primates; Hominidae. The record is from RNAcentral.
AAAUAAACUCAAGAACUGGUGACUUGCCCAGGUCACACUACUGGUGGGUAGCAAAACAGCAGCUAGAAUCUAUAGCUUCUGGCUUUCCAGCCAGUCCUUGUUCCACUACAUUCAUUACUUCUUUGCUGGACUGAAAAGCUUAGGACUUUUCCUGUAAGUAAUACGGAGCCAUUGAAGAUCUGAAGUUUCAAGGAAGUGGUAGGAUGGAUUCUCUUUUACUAUAAGGUUCAGAGUCUGGCUUGCAGACAAGGUACAGAUGGAAAUCUUCCUGGACUCAGGCCAAGAAGAGGAGAAAGGCCCUGUGCCCAUCCUGCUGUGAUUCAGGAGUCUCGCAGAAGACAUCAGAAUGCCUUUCUCUGAGUCACAGUCUGUAUCUUCUAGAAAAGGCUGUCCAUCUUCACCCCAAGCCCACUGGCUCCUGAGAUACGACAUCCAGACCCAGUGCAGCUGGACCUGGCCCAGGAAGAUCAUGCGGUUUCUGGGAAGCACUGGAGAAGGAAAAGGCUGAAGAAAGGAAGACCGGAAAAGAAAUACAAGUCCUUCCGCCUUGGCAAAGAUGAUAGUACCGUUCCCUUCAGUGUUCCGGUUCUGCUCUAUUGGAUAAGUUCCGGUUUGACUAUGACUACGUGAAAAUGUGGAACCAGACCUUCACCCCACAUUCCAGCUCCAGCUCUACCACAGAGGAAGUGCAAUAUCACCUUAGUUAUUCAACACAUUAUGCUCCUCGUGAUACAACCAGAGUUCACAUCAGCAAUCUUGGCAGCUCUCACCACGCUGCUGACUCACGACUCUCUCAUGUCCCAAUUUCCUGUCCAUUGUUCUUUCCUCUACUUGGCCUGAUUUCUAAAGGCCUCUCUUGGUUGCAUUAAGCGGGAUUCCUGAGGGAUUCCCUUGGCAGUUACCUUGGGGGAGCUCUUAGGUUUGGGGCUGAUCCAUGUCCUCUAAAUGUAGGACUUCAAAGCUCCCAAAGAUAGGCAGGCCCAGUGGGAAGCUGGGAAAUGCUCUCUGACCCCUCUGGGAGGGCUGGCAGUCAGAGGGCCUUUUGGAAAGAGUCAGACCUGAUCCAUAAGUCCCUGGAAAACACCCUGCCCAGGGAGCAAAUGCCACUGUGGCCUUGACUGAGGCUUCAGAAGAGUUUGGGAGCUGCAAUUCAUCCACACACGCAUUCAUUUUCAAGUAGUGGUUUGCAGUUCAGGCUUUGGAGCCACAUAAGCCUGGCUUCAAAGCCACUUUCCAGCUUUGUAGGAAGUCUCUACAUUUUUAAACCUCCAUUUUUUUUUCCUGUAAAACUGGGGUCUUCAUGGUACUUAACUUCAUCGUGAUGUUGAGAGAAUGAAAAGAAAAAGGAUAAAUAAAUGGCUUAGCCUCGUGCCUUGGCACAUAUUGUGAUUGUUUCUUCACGUCU